UGGGGAAUUUUGGACAAUGGGCGCAAGCCUGAUCCAGCCAUGUCGCGUGCGGGAAGAAGGCCUUCGGGUUGUAAACCGCUUUUGCCAGGGAAGAAAUCUUCUGAGUUAAUACCUCGGGAGGAUGACGGUACCUGAAGAAUAAGCACCGGCUAACUACGUGCCAGCAGCCGCGGUAAUACGUAGGGUGCAAGCGUUAAUCGGAAUUACUGGGCGUAAAGCGUGCGCAGGCGGUUUUGUAAGACAGAGGUGAAAUCCCCGGGCUCAACCUGGGAACUGCCUUUGUGACUGCAAGGCUUGAGUGCGGCAGAGGGGGAUGGAAUUCCGCGUGUAGCAGUGAAAUGCGUAGAUAUGCGGAGGAACACCGAUGGUGAAGGCAAUCCCCUGGGCCUGCACUGACGCUCAUGCACGAAAGCGUGGGGAGCAAACAGGAUUAGAUACCCUGGUAGUCCACGCCCUAAACGAUGUCAACUGGUUGUUGGGAAGGUUCCUUCUCAGUAGCGUAGCUAACGCGUGAANUUGACCGCCUGGGGAGUACGGCCGCAAGGUUGAAA
This 551-nucleotide ribosomal RNA is filed under the name uncultured bacterium. Its description in RNAcentral is "partial 16S ribosomal RNA". It matches the Rfam family "Bacterial small subunit ribosomal RNA", at positions 355 to 899 of the family's 1533-position model. The record is from RNAcentral.